AUUGAACGCUGGCGGCAUGCUUUACACAUGCCAGUCGAACGGCAGCGCGGGCUUCGGCCUGGCGGCGAGUGGCGAACGGGUGAGUAAUGCAUCGGAACGUGCCCAGUAGUGGGGGAUAGCCCGGCGAAAGCCGGAUUAAUACCGCAUACGACCUGAGGGUGAAAGCGGGGGACCGAAAGGCCUCGCGCUAUUGGAGCGGCCAAUGUCGGAUUAGCUAGUUGGUGGGGUAAAGGCUUACCAAGGCGACGAUCCGUAGCUGGUCUGAGAGGACGACCAGCCACACUGGGACUGAGACACGGCCCAGACUCCUACGGGAGGCAGCAGUGGGGAAUUUUGGACAAUGGGGGCAACCCUGAUCCAGCCAUGCCGCGUGCGGGAAGAAGGCCUUCGGGUUGUAAACCGCUUUUGUUCGGGAAGAAAUCCUCUGGGCUAAUACCCCGGGGGGAUGACGGUACCGGAAGAAUAAGCACCGGCUAACUACGUG
This 484-nucleotide ribosomal RNA is filed under the name uncultured bacterium. RNAcentral describes it as "partial 16S ribosomal RNA". It matches the Rfam family "Bacterial small subunit ribosomal RNA", at positions 28 to 507 of the family's 1533-position model. The record is from RNAcentral.